ACAUCCAAGGAAGGCAGCAGGCGCGUAAAUUACCCAAUCCUGACACAGGGAGGUAGUGACAAUAAAUAACAGUGCCGGGCCUUUACAGGUCUGGCAAUUGGAAUGAGAACAAUUUAAAUCCCUUAUCGAGGAUCAAUUGGAGGGCAAGUCUGGUGCCAGCAGCCGCGGUAAUUCCAGCUCCAAUAGCGUAUAUUAAAGUUGUUGCAGUUAAAAAGCUCGUAGUUGUAUUUGUGGCGUGCGUUAGGCUCCCUUUCCCUUUGGGAUUUGGUGUUGCCUGGCGUUGCCAUCCUUGGGUGGAACCUGUGUGGCAUUAGGUUGUCGUGCAGGGGAUGUCCAU
Molecule: ribosomal RNA, 337 nt
Filed under: uncultured diatom
Lineage: Eukaryota; Bacillariophyta
Description: SSU rRNA
Rfam family: Eukaryotic small subunit ribosomal RNA
Source: RNAcentral